Molecule: transfer RNA, 72 nt
Filed under: Desmophyllum pertusum
Lineage: Eukaryota; Metazoa; Cnidaria; Anthozoa; Scleractinia; Caryophylliidae
Description: tRNA-Cys
Source: RNAcentral
GGUAGCCCAGUUGGUUGGGCGCCAGACUGCAGAUCGAGCGGGAGGUCGCGGGUUCGAAUCCCGGCAGGACCA